GGUUCAGUAGGUUGGUCGUGCCACCGGUACGUACUGGUCUCACUGAUUCCUCCUUCCUGAAGGACCGUAAUGCCAUUAAUUUGGUGUUGCGGGGAAACAGGACUGUUACUUUUAAAAAAUUAUAGUGUUUAAAGCAAGCUAACGCUUGAAUACAUUAGCAUGGAAUAAUGAAAUAGGACGAUCGAUCCUAUUUUGUUGGUUUCUAGGAUUGACGUA
This 216-nucleotide ribosomal RNA is filed under the name Glomeromycotina sp. RNAcentral's name for it is "partial small subunit ribosomal RNA". The stretch from base 40 to 216 matches the Rfam family "Eukaryotic small subunit ribosomal RNA", at positions 686 to 864 of the family's 1831-position model. Lineage: Eukaryota; Fungi; Glomeromycota. The record is from RNAcentral.